UGACCUCCAAUCAAUUUCCGUCAUGCGCCAUCAUCUAAUAUAAAAGAACUUUCGAGACGUAUUAAGUGUGUAGCCUAUUGGUAUAUAAUGUACUACCUGUGGCCGAAAACCUUGAAAGUUUAUUUUUUGGUUCCCCUCACUCUCUCGGAAGCAACGGGAAUAUUGGACGAGAUAUAAAUAAGGGGAAGGGUCCGCAUUUGAUUUAUUACAGCAUUUUGACGAGUGCUGCAUAGUAAACGGUCUGUCAAGAAAAUGGAGAAUAAUUCAAAACGUGAUGACGCCAAGAAGAAUUCGUCCAGUAAUAGCAAUCAGGUUAAAACUUCGUCCGUUUACAUCGUCUGGAAAUCACCCGACAAUAAGUCGAAAUCAUCAGACAGGACCAGCAGCAGCUCAUCCGCCCAGUCCAAAAACAUUUUCUCCAGUUCACUUUCUCACAGGUCCUUCACUGGCCUAUUCUGAAAGAUGGUCAAUAAUAAUGGACGUCGUUACCACAGCACUAUAGCAAAUACUCUGAUUCAACUCAAUUAAUUAAUAUGAAACACACGAAUAAAUUUUAUUACAUCACCCGAAUUGUCAAGCGAUUGCAUCAAUAUCUUUUGUUCAAACAAAUUUUUAAAAUGCGAAUACAAACUAAAAAUAUCAAA
Daphnia pulex (common water flea) is the source of this 644-nucleotide long non-coding RNA. RefSeq lists it as uncharacterized. The record is from RefSeq and is a predicted model, not a curated record. The transcript is spliced from 2 exons. NCBI's taxonomy places the organism in Eukaryota, Metazoa, Arthropoda, Branchiopoda, Diplostraca, Daphniidae.